UCUUAGUGGCGGACGGGUGAGUAACGCGUGGGUAACCUGCCCUGGUACAGGGGGAUAACACUUAGAAAUAGGUGCUAAAACCGCAUAAGCGCACAGUACCGCAUGGUACAGUGUGAAAAACUCCGGUGGUACAGGAUGGACCCGCGUCUGAUUAGCUGGUUGGAGGGGUAACGGCCCACCAAGGCGACGAUCAGUAGCCGGCCUGAGAGGGUGAACGGCCACAUUGGGACUGAGACACGGCCCAAACUCCUACGGAAGGCAGCAG
RNAcentral lists this ribosomal RNA (265 nucleotides) under uncultured bacterium. Its description in RNAcentral is "partial 16S ribosomal RNA". It matches the Rfam family "Bacterial small subunit ribosomal RNA", at positions 90 to 354 of the family's 1533-position model. The record is from RNAcentral.